GUACUGAUGAAGAGUCCCAGAAUAAAACGAAAGAGAUGUCCAGUAC
This 46-nucleotide non-coding RNA is filed under the name Trichobilharzia regenti. The record is from RNAcentral. Lineage: Eukaryota; Metazoa; Platyhelminthes; Trematoda; Strigeidida; Schistosomatidae.